AUUGAACGCUGGCGGCAUGCCUUACACAUGCAAGUCGAACGGCAGCACGGGAGCAAUCCUGGUGGCGAGUGGCGAACGGGUGAGUAAUAUAUCGGAACGUGCCCAGUCGUGGGGAUAACGUAGCGAAAGCUACGCUAAUACCGCAUACGAUCUACGGAUGAAAGCGGGGGAUCGCAAGACCUCGCGCGAUUGGAGCGGCCGAUAUCAGAUUAGGUAGUUGGUGAGGUAAAGGCUCACCAAGCCGACGAUCUGUAGCUGGUCUGAGAGGACGACCAGCCACACUGGGACUGAGACACGGCCCAGACUCCUACGGGAGGCAGCAGUGGGAAUUUUGGACAAUGGGCGCAAGCCUGAUCCAGCAAUGCCGCGUGCAGGAUGAA
This 380-nucleotide ribosomal RNA is filed under the name uncultured bacterium. RNAcentral describes it as "bacterial SSU rRNA". It matches the Rfam family "Bacterial small subunit ribosomal RNA", at positions 30 to 412 of the family's 1533-position model. The record is from RNAcentral.